GAUGAACGCUGGCGGCGUGCCUAAUACAUGCAAGUCGAGCGAGCGGACGAGAAGCUUGCUUCUCUGAUGUUAGCGGCGGACGGGUGAGUCACACGUGGAUAACCUACCUAUAAGACUGGGAUAACUUCGGGAAACCGGAGCUAAGACCGGAUAAUAUUUUGAACCGCAUGGUUCAAAAGUGAAAGACGGUCUUGCUGUCACUUAUAGAUGGAUCAGCGCUGCAUUAGCUAGUUGGUAAGGUAACGGCUUACCAAGGCAACGAUGCAUAGCCGACCUGAGAGGGUGAUCGGCCAGACUGGAACUGAGACACGGUCCAGACUCCUACGGGAAGCAGCAGUAGGGAAUCUUCCGCGAUGGGCGAAAGCCUGACGUAGCAACGCCGCGUGAGUGAUGAAGGUCUUCGGAUCGUAAAACUCUGUUAUUAGGGAAGAACAUAUGUUUAAGUAACUGUGCACAUCUUGACGGUACCUAAUCAGAAAGCCACGGCUAACUACGUG
RNAcentral lists this ribosomal RNA (497 nucleotides) under uncultured bacterium. Its description in RNAcentral is "partial 16S ribosomal RNA". It matches the Rfam family "Bacterial small subunit ribosomal RNA", at positions 28 to 507 of the family's 1533-position model. The record is from RNAcentral.